RNAcentral lists this unclassified non-coding RNA (139 nucleotides) under uncultured Hypocreales. RNAcentral's name for it is "sequence contains ITS1". The record is from RNAcentral. Lineage: Eukaryota; Fungi; Ascomycota; Sordariomycetes; Hypocreales.
CCGAGUUUUUUUACUCCAAACCCUGUGAACCUACCUAUAAAUGCUUCGGCGAUCGGCCCCGGGGGGCGCUAUACGGUCGCCGACAGUAUAUCCAAAAUCUCUUUACAGAGUCUUCUGAAUGAAAUAAAAAAAACAAUCA